AAAAAUUGUAAAACUAGGCAAAGCUCAACUUUAAACAAUAAAAAAUUAUUACCAAGAAAACAAUCCUUAAGUAAGUAAAUUAUUAAGAAACCCCAAAAGGCCCAAGAACAAAAGUACCGCAAGGGAAAGAUGAAAUAAAAUUAAAACAUAAAAUAAAGAAAGUAAAGAUUAAGACUUUUACCUCGUGUAUAAUGAGUUAACAAGAAAGAAGCAAGAAAAUGCUAACCCCGAAACUAAGUGAGCUAUUCUUUUCUCUUUUUUAGAAAGACCAAGGCACUGUUGCAAUAGUGCCCCCAAAGAAAAGAAUAGAUGUGAAAUGCUUAACGCACUAAGAUAUAGCUGGUUUUCCGAAAAAUUAGCCUGAGCUAAGACUUCCAACUAAGAAAGAAGAAAAUUAAACAAUAUUAAAUUAACUCUAAAAUUCGAAGUGAAAGGUCAGAAAACUAAGGAUAAACUUAAUUUUCAAGAUGGAAAAAGCCAACGUUUUCGGUUAAGGUCAAAAAGAAAAAUAAAUAGGCAAAAUAAAAAGAAUAGGCCUAGAAGCAGCCUCUUAGUAAAAAAGCGUUAAAGCUUAACUAAAAAGAAGCCUAAAAAAUUAUUGAAAACCCCACCAAAACCAAAAAAAGGUAUCGGAAUAUUCUAAUAAAAGUAAAAAAAAUGUUAACAUGAGUAAAGUAAGUCUUACCUGUAAAAUAAGCGUUCAUAACCUUGUAAGUAGAAAUAAUGAGAAUAAAAAACCAAUUUCACACAACGUCUUCCAACGCAGGAGGGACAGAAAAAAAAAAAAAAAAAAAAGGAACUCGGCAAAUUGUGCUUCGCCUGUUUACCAAAAACAUCGCUCCUCGAUGAAACUACAUGAGGAGUCCUGCCUGCCCAGUGACUAAAGUUAAACGGCCGCGGUAUCUUGACCGUGCAAAGGUAGCAUAAUCACUUGUCUCCUAAAUAGAGACUGGUAUGAAUGGCAAGACGGAGCUAAACUGUCUCUUUUUUUAAUCUUGAAAUUUACUUCCCCGUGAAGAGGCGUGGAUAAAAUCGCUAGACGAGAAGACCCUGUCGAGCUUAAAGCAAAAAAGAGGACAUCUUUAUAGUUAGACAAUACUAAUCUAUGUAAUUACAAAAGUUUAACUUUAACGUUUCUCUACAGAGCUUUGGUUGGGGCAACCGCGGAAAAAGAAAAACUUCCGCUUACAAAUAAUUAAAUAAAGGAAAACAAUCCUGUUAUCAGAAAUGAGAAUAGAUCCACUUAGGUGAUCAAAGGAACAAGUUACCGCAGGGAUAACAGCGUUAUCUUUUUUGAGAGUUCACAUUGACAAAAAGGUUUGCGACCUCGAUGUUGGAUCGGGACAUCCUAAGGGUGCAGAAGCUCUUAAGGGUUGGUCUGUUCGACCAUUAAAGUCCUACGUGAUCUGAGUUCAGACCGGCGAAAGCCAGGUCAGUUUCUAUCUUCGUAAAAAUCUUUCUUAGUACGAAAGGACCAGAAAGAAGGUGUCCAUAUAAAUAAAAAUAAACACUAAAAUUAAAAUC
Molecule: ribosomal RNA, 1524 nt
Filed under: Temnopleurus hardwickii
Lineage: Eukaryota; Metazoa; Echinodermata; Echinoidea; Temnopleuroida; Temnopleuridae
Description: 16S ribosomal RNA
Rfam family: Bacterial large subunit ribosomal RNA
Source: RNAcentral